UGAAAUCCAAGUGGACUUCCCUUACAAUCUACUCUUUCAGUUUCACAGAAGAUCCAGAUUAGAUUUUAAGGCAAACAAAUUGAUAGAGCAGAUUGUAAGGGAAGCCCACAUGGAUUUCA
This 119-nucleotide microRNA precursor is filed under the name Populus trichocarpa (black cottonwood). RNAcentral's name for it is "miR6421 stem-loop (ptc-MIR6421)". Lineage: Eukaryota; Viridiplantae; Streptophyta; Magnoliopsida; Malpighiales; Salicaceae. The record is from miRBase by way of RNAcentral.